RNAcentral lists this ribosomal RNA (253 nucleotides) under uncultured bacterium. Its description in RNAcentral is "partial 16S ribosomal RNA". It matches the Rfam family "Bacterial small subunit ribosomal RNA", at positions 524 to 776 of the family's 1533-position model. The record is from RNAcentral.
UACGUAGGGGGCGAGCGUUGUCCGGAAUUACUGGGCGUAAAGGGCGCGUAGGCGGUCUGGCAAGUCAGAUGUGAAACCCCUAAGCUUAACUAAGGGCAUGCAUUUGAGACUGUCAGGCUAGAGUGCAGGAGAGGGAAGUGGAAUUCCUAGUGUAGCGGUGAAAUGCGUAGAUAUUAGGAGGAACACCAGUGGCGAAGGCGGCUUCCUGGACUGUAACAGACGCUGAGGCGCGAAAGCGUGGGGAGCAAACAGG